AGAUUGAACGCUGGCGGCAUGCUUUACACAUGCAAGUCGAACGGUAACAGGCCGCAAGGUGCUGACGAGUGGCGAACGGGUGAGUAAUGUAUCGGAACGUGCCCAGUCGUGGGGAUAACGCAGCGAAAGCUGCGCUAAUACCGCAUACGAUCUAUGGAUGAAAGCGGGGGACCGUAAGGCCUCGCGCGAUUGGAGCGGCCGAUAUCAGAUUAGGUAGUUGGUGGGUAAAGGCUACGACCAAGCCAACGAUCUGUAGCUGGUCUGAGAGGACGACCAGCCACACUGGACUGAGACACGGCCCAGACUCCGUACGGGAGGACGAGACAGGUAGGGGUAAUUUUGGGAACAAGUGGGCGCGAACGCC
This 364-nucleotide ribosomal RNA is filed under the name uncultured soil bacterium. Its description in RNAcentral is "bacterial SSU rRNA". It matches the Rfam family "Bacterial small subunit ribosomal RNA", at positions 26 to 383 of the family's 1533-position model. The record is from RNAcentral.